AUCUGCUGCAAAAAUGAUACAACUGCAUGAAGCCAACAAAUUUGAAUUGCCUCAAAAUAAACCCCAACGACAACAAAAAGAGUACCUCAAUCUUUUCUGCUUCCCCAGUAAGAACAGACCUGUAGUAUAUACAUAGUUAUUUUACAUAUAAGUGAAAAGUGGUAUCUCAGCUUUAAGGUAGCAUUACUAAAGGCCCCUUCUUCCUGUUCUUCUCUAUCACCUCCAACAAGACUUUGAUCAACUUCUACAGUAAUGAUGAGUGGACCUUGUGGGGUUCCAAAAAGUGUAGUAAAUAUCUGUAGUAUACACAUAGUUAUUUUAUAUAUAAGUGAAAAGUGGUAUCUCAGUUUAAGGUAGCAUUACAAAAGGUCCCUUCUUCCUGUUCUUCACCAUCACCUUCAACAGGACUUUGAUCUACUUCCACAGCAAUGUUGAGUGGACCUUGUGGGGUUCCAAAAAGAGUAGUAAAUAUCUGUCUAUGACAUUCAUCACA
RNAcentral lists this long non-coding RNA (493 nucleotides) under Citrus x clementina. RNAcentral's name for it is "Citrus clementina (C. clementina) long non-coding RNA (CCLE_LNC001141)". Lineage: Eukaryota; Viridiplantae; Streptophyta; Magnoliopsida; Sapindales; Rutaceae. The record is from RNAcentral.